UAAGGCGCAUAUAGCCACACAUAGUUAGAGGUUCCUCCUCUCCACAGCACAUAUAUAGGAGGAACCUUUAACUAUGUGUGGCUAUAUGCGCCUUA
Molecule: non-coding RNA, 95 nt
Organism: Podarcis lilfordi (Lilford's wall lizard)
Lineage: Eukaryota; Metazoa; Chordata; Lepidosauria; Squamata; Lacertidae
Source: the annotation of a GenBank genome assembly